RNAcentral lists this long non-coding RNA (7915 nucleotides) under Triticum aestivum (bread wheat). RNAcentral's name for it is "long non-coding RNA (TAES_LNC026987)". Lineage: Eukaryota; Viridiplantae; Streptophyta; Magnoliopsida; Poales; Poaceae. The record is from RNAcentral.
UCCCACGUGUCGAAGCACGACUUAGAGGCAUAACCGCAUUGAAAGCAAUGUCGCAAGUGAGGUAAUCUUCACACAACCCAUGUAAUACAUAAGGGAAAGAGAUACAUAGUUGGCUUACAAUCGCCACUUCACACAAUUACAUGAAUAAAGCAUUACAUCAUCCAGAUACAAACAAGGUCCGACUACGGAACCAAAAUAAAAGAAGAACCCCAAAUGCGACAAAGGUCCCCGAUCGACCCCAACUGGGCUCCACUACUGAUCAACUAGAACGAAACAACACAAAGGGCAAGAUCUUCAUCGAGCUCCCCCUUGAGCUUGGUUGCGUCACCUGCUCGGUAACAUAGGCACCUGCAAACUGGUUUUGGAAGUAUCUGGUGAGCCACGGGGACUCAGCAAUCUCGCACCCGCGAGAUCAAGACUAUUUAAGCUUAUAGGAAGGAUGGAGUAAUGAGGUGGAGCUGCAGCAAGCGACUAGCAUAUAUGGUGGCUAACAUACGCAAAUGAGAGCGAGAAGAGAAGGCAAAGCACGGUCGAUAAAAGUAUGAUCAAGAAGUGAUCCUGGACUACCUACGUCAAGCAUAACUCCAACAACCGUGUUCACUUUCCGGACUCCGCCGGAAAGAGACCAUCACGGUUACACACGCGGUUGAUGUAUUUUAAUUAAGGUCAACUUCGGGUUUUCUACAACCGGACGUUAACAAAUUCCCAUCUGCCACAUAACCGCGGGCACGGCUUUCGAAAGUUCAAAUCCCUGCAGGGGUGUCCCAACUUAGCCCAUGACAAGCUCUCACGGUCAACGAAGGAAUAGACCUCCACCCGAGACGUUCCGAUCAGACUCGGUAUCCCGGUACAACAAGACAUUUCGACAGGGUAAAACUAAACCAGCAACACCGCCCGAAUGUGCCGACAAAUCCCGAUAGGAGCUGCACAUAUCUCUUUCUCAGGGCACACUCAGAUGAGACUAGCUACGAGUAAAACCAACCCUCAAGUUUCCCCGAGGUGGCCCCGCAGGCAGCUCAGUUCGGACCACACUCAGAGGAGCACUGGCCAGGGGGGGUUAGAAUAAAGAUGACCCUUGAGUCUGCAGAACCCAAGGGAAGGUGGUAGGUUGUUAGUGCAAAUGGUAAAACCAAUGUUGGGCAUUGCUGGAGGAGCUUUAGUUAAGGCGAACUGUCAAGGGGUUCCCAUUAUAGCCCAACCGUGUAAGGAACGCAAAAUCCGGGAACAUAACACCAAUAUGACGGAAACUAGGGCGGCAAGAGUGGAACAAAACACCAGGCAUAAGGCCGAGCCUUCCACCCUUUACCAAGUAUAUAGAUGCAUUAAUUAAAUAAGAUAUAUUGUGAUAUCCCAACAAGUAAACAUGUUCCAACAAGGAACAACAUCUCCAUGUUCCAACAAGGAACAAACUUCAAUCUUCACCUGCAACUAACAACGCUAUAAGAGGGGCUGAGCAAAGUGGUAACAUAGCCAAUCAACGGUUUGCUAGGACAUGGUGGGUUAGAGGUUUGACAUGGCAAUUUGGGAGGCUGACAAGCAAAUGGUAGGCAUCGUAGCAUUGGCAUAGCAAGAGCGAGCAAACUAGCAUAGCAAAGAUAGUAGUGAUUUCGAGGGUAUGAUCAUCUUGCCUGAGAUCCCGCAAGGAAGAAGAACGAAUCCAAGAAGAAGACAAACGGUCGUAGACGAACAAAUCCUCACAACUCCGGAACGAAACCGAAGCUAACAAGAGAAGCAACCCGGAAAGAAACAAACAACAUAGUAAACAAACAUCACAUAAACAGGGCAUGAUGCGCAAACAAGUAUGAUGCAUGUCCGGUUUAAUGAGGCAUGGCAUGGCAAAGUGCAACAGACAAUACUACAAGUUAAGUGGAGCUCAAUAUGCAACGAGGUGCAUGUUGACGGAACACCACAUCAAUUAUUUAGUUCUCUCUCGUUUAAGCUACCCAACAAUAUUAACUGUUGUUAAACAUGGCAAGAGGUGAAGCAUAAUAUAAACUAUACCAUCUAAACAAUUUAAAUGGGGCCGGACAUAACAAAUAACAAAUCCGGUAAAUCCCCAUAUGCAUUUAGCAAUUUAAUGCAACAACAAGUUUAAACAUUUUAAAUGUUGUUAUCAUGAUGCGGAUGACAUAUACAAGUUUUAUGCAAUUUUAUGAAAAUGUUGACAUGAGCAUGUUAUGAAGCAUUUGGUCACCGUGGUGGAAGAAAGGGGUGCCACGGCAACGAAUCCGAAAAUGAUGCCACGGCAACAUAUCGGUUCCGGUAACUCGAUUGAGAUGUGGGUGCAAAAGGAAGGCGUGAGCGUGUCAUGCAAGAUGGUGGGGUGAUCCCGACUUCCGGGUUCCCACGGGACGGUGGCACGGCAAAAGAGGGGCAUCGCAAGGACGAUUCGAUCACAGAGCAAACGAUGCAUCUCAUUCAACACAUGCAAGGGCAUCUCAUCGCGGUCGUCGUCUCGGGGUUAUACCUUUGAAGCGUGCGUUUUCGGGGCGGAUCGAGUUCGGUACGAUGUAGAGGAAGUAGACGUUCUCGUAGCGGUCGUAGAGGAAGUAGUUGUUCACGUGUCGUCGUGGGAAGUAGUCGUACGCGGCGUCGGUAGUGGUACACGGGUCUUCGGGCGACGGUAGAUGGUACAUGUUUCCGUAGAUGAACUUGGCGAUCCGAAGGGGUACUUGACGAAAUCCACAUCGAAUGUAGUCGUGCACGUCGUAGUCGGACUUGACAAAAAUGCACACCGGCUGUAGUCGUGGUACUUGACAUUAUCCGGGACGGUCUUGGUGAAAUCCAGAACAACACCAAAGGCCUCGGGUUUCGAUCUUCAGGAGCAGCGGAGAGCACGCACACAGGGCACGGCAGAGGUUGUGCACGGCAACAACGGGUCGGCCAAAAGAGGCAGAGGCCAUGGCAGGGCAGGCGCUUGGGGCGCCGGUGGCUGCCUCAGCAAGGAGAAGGGCGCGACGGGGUGGCCUGGAGGUCAAGGAGGCAGGCGGGUUCACGGGAGGCGCAGGAGGGCAACGAAGCAGCAGAGGCGUGGGGACGGCGGAGCACACGACGCUGGCGACCAUGGACGGGCGACGAUGCGGCCGCCGGCAACGGCUCCGAAGGCCGGCGUGGUGGAGCGGAGGGAGGCGAGGCGAAGAAGCAGCGCGCGGGGGCUCUGCUCCCUGGUGGUUGGGGCGGAUCCAGGUGGAGGCGACCCGGAACAGGGCGCGGCGGCCAUGGGAGCUCCAAGGAGGGCGGUGGCUGGUCGUGGUCGCCGGCGAUGGAGGCGGAGCAAAGGACGGGUGAAGCAGAGGAGCCGAUGGCGGACGCGGGAGGCCGGGCGCGACGCCAUGGGGAGGCGACGACGCGGAGGAGGGAAGGCUGCAGGGGCAACGACGGAGGUCCUGGCACGGCCGCAGGCGACGGAGGAGGGAAGGCGUCGCGGCGGAGAGGAUGGGAGACGAGGCAGGGGCGCCGGAGUUGGCCUCCAGUGGCGGCGCGGGAGAAGGAAGGGCGAGGGGGAGGCCGCAGGGAGAUGGGGAUCGAGGGGAGCGGCCGCGGUAGCGAGGGAGGUGACGGCUGCGCGUGGGGAUCGGGCACGGGGUAGCGGCGCUGGAGGAGAACGAGGGAGAGAUGGAGACCGAUGGGAGUCGGGCUAGGGUUAGGUGCUGGGGUUAGGUGGGCUGGACUGCGGAUGGGCCUAAGAGGCCGGCUAGGUUACAGGCUGCUGGGCUUCUUCUCCCUCUCUUAUAUUUUCUGAAAAUAGAAAAUAAAUCAAGGAAGAAAAGGAGAAGAAAGGAAGGUCCAAAAAUGUUCGGAUUUUUGGUGGAGCUCUGGAAAAUGAUGAAAUAAAUAUUGGCAAGGUUGGAGACCAAACUUGAAGCAGAAAAGGAACGAAAUUAUUUUGCAAGUGUGUUUUGGUGAUUUCCGAAAUAGUGGAAUAUUUAAUAUAGCUCCCUAAUAUUGGAGGAUAUGUUAUAAAGAGAAGUCACCCUUCCCUCGAUUUAAAUGGAUCGAAGAUCCAUACAAUUUAUUUAGUUGAGUUUUUUAAAAAUUAAUGAUAUGAUGGCAUGAUGCAAUGCAAAUGAUGACAUGAUGAAAUGCAACACACAAGAAAAUGACCUGGCAACAUCAGCGAAUAACUGAACGACACCUGGCACAACGGUCUCGGGGCGUUACAACACUCCACCACUACGAGAGGAUCUCGUCCCGAGAUCUAGAAUGGCACCGGAGGGAAAAACAGAGGAGAAAGAGAAGGGGAAAACUACGUUGCUUCUUUGACAAACGAGUGAAACCAAAGAACCUUGCGAGGUUGAACUAAUUUAAAGAAGAAAACAACAAAGAUGGACGAAGUUGAAAACACUCCGUUAGAAAAGAGAAACAAGGAAGAACAAAUUCGAACAACACUCCGGUUGAAAAGAGAUGCAAAACUUGAUAAGAUGAAAAGAACUUGAAUGAGAACACAACACUCCGGUUAAAUGGAUAAGCAAGAAAAGAACACGAUCCUCACGAAUCGAGAUGGUGAGUGAAAAGAGCAACGUCACAAUGCCUCCGGAAGAAAGAAUAGAAGAUAAAUCAUUGGAAUAACAGAAUGGAGAAGAAAAUGCCAACUUCUGCCACAAAUGAGUUUGGAAAGCAUCCUUGCAAAGAAGAAUUGAACGGAGUUGUUGGAAAAUCAACAACGAAAAGCACAAGCUUGUAGUGGGCUUAUGGAAAACAUCUCAAAAUUAUGAGGUGACAACCGGCCACUAACGGAAACAAUUGCUUGCUUGAGAUCAACGAAGAGAUGAAAACUUCUUCCACCAAGAUGAUAAAGAGAUAACUUGGAUCAUUGGCAAGCACCACAAAUAGCAACAUUCCCAAUGGAAGGCUUUUAGGUGAAAUAUGACACAAGAUAACUCCAACAACGAGGUUGAUGGAUUUAAAAAUAACUCAUUCUUAACAACAUGUGAAUCAUGGAAAACAUGAACUCAAAUUAUCAAGAAUGACAUAAUACCACCUCCGAUAAUAUGGUAGAAAGAAAUUGCACUCCGGAUUACAAUAUGAAGAAAGCUUGAGCUCCUUAGGAAAGAAUCUCGAUGAAAACUUUGAGAAGGGAAUUAAAUCCUUGAUGAAUCAUCAUGUAGAGCCUCCGUGAAGAACUCCGGUAAACAAAAGGAAUGAAAAGAAAGAGAAAUUGAAAACACAAGGUGAAUCCUUGCAAUGAUUUAGAUGGAUCUCCGUGAUAAUUAGAGCUUGGAACUCCGGGAAAAAGAGAAGAUGAAACAAAUGAAACCGAGAAUUUGAAGGGCCUCCGGAAUAAAGAAUUAAUCACUUGGAUGAACAAGAAUAAGAAUUAUGUUAUGCUUAUCCUUCACCAAUUAAAUUGACGACAAUCAACGGAUUUGGCAUACUACUUAUUCUCGUAGAAAGGAUUAAAAGAGAUAUAGCGUAAACUUGAGAAGGUCUUCAACGAACCACCGGUAGGAUUGGAACAACAAAUGAAUUGAUAUGAUGAACAAGGAAGAGAGAUCUUGAAAGAACCACCGUAAUAAUUGAAAAUGAUCGAAGUAGGGGUGCAUCACCGGUAAGAAUUAGCAAAUGAACGAAGGUGCUUGAGACAAACUAGAUACAUGAGAACAAAGAGAUCAAGAACUGAUUAGAGGAUAUUCGAUAGAUGCACCGGCAAGAUAGGAGAAUGAUAACUGACGGCUGAGAAUGAAUAAACCUGAAUUGAUGGACUCCGGAUGACAAACUGAGAAGACUCUUGAAUAUCUCCUGAUGGGUGAAAAAGAUUCUCACAAUCGAAAACAAUUAUGAGAGGAUGGCAGCAAGCUAGCACCAUGAAUCUUGAAGAGAAUAGAGCAAGAUUAAAGAGAAACUCUUCUUCGGUCUUCACAUGAUGAGAAUGACAACGAGAAACACCACCAAGAAUUAUUGAGGCACACCGGAAGAAUCAAAAGCGAAGAGGUUGAGCCAACUAUGAAAAGAAUUUGAAAGAUCUUGGAGAAAAGCAUUUGACUGAUGAUAACUCAUUCUUACGUCAAACUUGGAGAAGAAUUUAGGAUAGCUCUGGGAAAAUAGAAGAGUCAGGUAAGAUCCUGGGAAAAGACCUGUGGGUUAGGGCCCACUCAAAAGAAACAGCGUUGAAAUGAUUUAAAAGAGAGGUUGCAUCGGUUGAAUUAAAUGACUUGAAUGAGAUACCAAUCUCGAAAUAGCUUGAACGAAUGCAGAGUGAAAACACGAAUCUUCGAGAUAUCUUGAGCACUCCGGAACAAUUGAAUAGCGGGAAGUGAAUUAUUAUGAGGUGCACCGGUAUGAGAAGACAUUGAAAUGAGGAAAAAGGGUGGGUGGGCGGGAAAAAACAAAGGCAACUUGGAGACGGAUGAAACAAACACCGUUGAGAAGAAAUGAUAAUUGGUCUUGCUGAUGUUGAAGUGAUCGGAUCCACUUGAGGAGAGACACACCGGUUAAAAAAAAGGAUUGACAAGACAGACUCGAUGAUCAAGAAGGAUUAGUAUUCACAUAGGAAUAUGAGAACACCAUUUGGGAAAAGGUAUGGAAUCAACAUUUGACUUCGAAGCAACUCGAAUACCACAAAUAAAACAAAACAAAGGAUUUGGCUUGCAGAAUGAGCCGGAACAAACAUAUGAUAGAGAUUUUGUCCGAAGUUUUUGUGGUGGGGCCUACACGGGCUCGAUCGUACAGCACCAUCAUGUACAAGACAGUGCACAUGACAUACGAAGCGUCCCCGAGUCGGCAUAGCCAAGGACUCUUUAAGACACAACGAGACCACUAUAAAAACGACCGUGAAUAGGCGGACCACUAGACGUCGAACCCCAAUGUCAUAUCAUAGAUCUGUCGGAAAGAAAACCUAAGAGCUACUUGAAUUCCCACCUAUGAAACUCCCGAAAUUUUCAGGUUAUGCAAUCAGGUGUUGGGGAUACAGGGGAAGCAUAAUAUCUCACCCAAAACUAACAAAUCCUACAUCCAGCUGUAUCCAUCCUUCAACACAUAACCAAGAAACCUUCGGAAAUCGUCUACCUCAACCUUCGAAAAGCAUCCGUUAUACAAGUCAUGGCAAUACUCCCGUACUCACCUCAGUACUGGGUUAUCGGGGUUAUCUCACCAACAACUGCAUAAAAGAGAUUUUCGAUGUCGGCGUACUAAACUCAGGUAUUCCAGAACUGCAACGAUAAAAUUAUGACGACAACACCUCAGAGCUCAACUCCCCGGGACACUUCCACUAAACCCCUGACAGGAGGCACCAAGACAAUGUUCUCAUCAUAAAACCAUCGGAACGAUUCCAAGAUACCCGCGUGAUCCUAAAAAAUUUUUAGUGAAAUUUGAGAAGAGAAGAGUUAAAACUCUACGUCAGGAUGCCUUACCAGAGCGAUGAAGAGACUGGGGAGUAAAAAGAAUUCCUAACUCUCUGAUAUAUAUAAUCCUAAAUGACUCAAAACAUUUUUCUAGACACAACUCGGCCGCUAAAAACGAUCAAGCAGUGGGGCUCCUAAGGUCGGGGAAGGCUCUGAUUACCAACUUGUAACGCCCUCGAUGCGGCUACAUCUCCCACGUGUCGAAGCACGACUUAGAGGCAUAACCGCAUUGAAAGCAAUGUCGCAAGUGAGGUAAUCUUCACACAACCCAUGUAAUACAUAAGGGAAAGAGAUACAUAGUUGGCUUACAAUCGCCACUUCACACAAUUACAUGAAUAAAGCAUUACAUCAUCCAGAUACAAUCAAGGUCCGACUACGGAACCAAAAUAAAAGAAGAACCCCAAAUGCGACAAAGGUCCCCGAUCAACCCCAACUGGGCUCCACUACUGAUCAACUAGAAUGAAACAACACAAAGGGCAAGAUCUUCAUCGAGCUCCUCCUUGAGCUUGGUUGCGUCACCUGCUCGGUAACAUAGGCACCUGCAAACUGGUUUUGGAAGUAUCUGGUGAGCCACG